This 433-nucleotide ribosomal RNA is filed under the name uncultured bacterium. RNAcentral describes it as "partial 16S ribosomal RNA". It matches the Rfam family "Bacterial small subunit ribosomal RNA", at positions 29 to 507 of the family's 1533-position model. The record is from RNAcentral.
AACGAACGCUGGCGGCAUGCCUAACACAUGCAAGUCGAACGAGAACUUCGGGCCUAGUGGCGCACGGGUACGUAACGAGUGGGAACUUACACUUAGGUAACGAAUCACUUCCCGAAGGGGGUGUUCAUACCGGUUAAUCUCAUCGGACCUAAGAGUUAUGGCCUUUGGAUGGGCCCGCGUUAGUUUAGGUAGUUGGUAGGGUAAUAGCCUAUCAUGGGGUCGAUGCUUAGCUGGUCUGUGAGGAAGAUCAGCCACACUGGGACUGAGGCACGGCCCAGACUCGUACGGGAGGCAGCAGUAGAGAAUAUUAGACGAGGGGCGAAGGUCUGAUACAGCAGUGCCGCGGGAGUGAGGAAUGGCUUAGGAUUGUAAAUCUCUUUUAGCCGGGAUGAGAAUGACAGUACCGGGUAAAGAAGCACCGGCUAACUCCGUG